RNAcentral lists this long non-coding RNA (6025 nucleotides) under Selaginella moellendorffii. Its description in RNAcentral is "long non-coding RNA (SMOE_LNC002415)". The record is from RNAcentral. Lineage: Eukaryota; Viridiplantae; Streptophyta; Lycopodiopsida; Selaginellales; Selaginellaceae.
UGGCGGAGCGGGAGAUCCCAGUGACUGGUGUGGGACUCGGUGGAGAGAGGUGUGACAGAAUUGGCAUCCCGAGUUACCAGAUUAAACUUGCCACUGCGAAAGUUCUUGAGGGAGGAGACCUUGAGCUUCCAGAGAUCCGGGACAAGGGAGACAACCUGAUAUUGGAUCUCUACAGUAUCCAGGCUGCAUACGGAUGCCGUUGUCUGUGAAACUGGUUCUUCGUCUAGUUUUGGUUUGGCUUGCUAGCUUUCCUUGAAAUGAAAUUGAGAAAGGAAUAGCAGGCCCGGCGCACGAUAGCAGCAUUGGGGUGAGCGCGUGAGUACACGCAACACACCAUGUGAUCCGGGCCAUUGCCCCAGAACUUCAGCGCGAUCACAAAUCGGCAUGAUGGCAACGCGAAAUACUCCUCGCAUCUGCAGAGAACAAGCGCGAUCACAAAUGGCACAACGGCAACACGAAAUCCUCUGCACCUGCGGAAAACGCCCUGAAGCGACUAACUUGUGGCAACUUCCACAAAGCCAGAUGGAGCAUCAACAGUACCAUCCGGCUGCUGCAUGCGGAUCGUGACGUCGGGUUCCCUCCUCACGUUUGGUGCAAGAUACGCGACGAUCAAGAAGACACACUAGCUUCCAUAGCCGGAGCGUGAAGGAAGCGAAUCCCAAUUACAUUCUGCCAUCUGUAAAGUACCGUAAAAGACCAGGUCAAGAAAGGUCAAAACUUCUUCCCGCCACGAUCGCUAGAGCUUGGAGCUUAGGGCUAAGAGAUUGUAGAUUCGCUGCUGCUGCAUUUUUUGUCCAACGCAGUAAGUAAAGAUCUCUGUUAGAAAUGGAGAAAGUGAUCGGUACUUAGUUUCUUCGCCAUUGCUGAGAGAACAUCUGAGAAUUCGAUUCAUGGUCUUCGCCUUUGAAGGAUCAGUGAUGUCACAAUUCCGACUACGUUUCGAGGUUCUUGGAAGGUGCGCCACUUCAUCACAACAGUUCUGGGGUCGUUCUUCCAUCAAACAGAGCAAGCAAGGAGCGAUUCGCAGUGGCGAGGAGCGAGCAAAUGGAAGCGUACAGUCAGUUCUGGAGCCUCACACUGGGAUUUGCAGCGCACAGUGAAGCUCGACAUCGUCAACAGAUAUCCUGUCCAAGUUCUUCUCCGGAAGCCCAAGGUCUCCUCCCCCGAGAACUUUGGCAGUGGCAAGCUUAAUCUGAUAACUCGGGAUGCCAAUUCUGUCACAGCUCUCUCCACCAAGUCCCACACCAGUCACUGGGAUCUCCCGCUCCGCCAAGAAAGCCAGAGUCUCCGGGAACAGCACCUCCUCUCCAAAAGACACAGCGUUAGCACUCGUAGCCACGGCACCACCAUCACCGCCACCACCGCCGACGAUCUCGUAGACCACGGCCACAGAUGUAUGAGCUCGGGACAAACGAGAUAAUGUCGGCUGCGAGAUUGCCGAGAACGAUAUAUAGAUAUCUACUCUUUGAUUUAGACCAGACUACUACUUACUGCUCCGUUCUUCCCUGGAUUCGAUGUGGGAGCACCAAUUUGAUACGCAGAGGAUCGUGGGCUUUAAUGCUGGAGAUCAGCCCUGCACAGCUCAAGGAAUGCCACUGUAUCAAGUACGUAUUCCCGCAAAUUGGAUCUUUGGCAAUCAACCUGUCCCUCCCCAAGCUCAAGCCGUGUAUCACAUCGACCUCUACCUUGUUCAACGCGCGUUUCACGAGCAAAUAGGAAAGGCCGAGCCUUUCUUGUUUCGUGCUACUAGGGUUUAGGUAAGUUUUCUACCAAGAGCACGUUGAGGAUUUCUACCAAGAACCAGCGCUCGGCCGGGUCACAAGGGAUCCAACCGAGUGGUGAGAUUGUCCCUGGGUGCCAGCCAUCGAUCAGUGUUUCCAGGGCCGCCCCGGAUCUAACUCUUGUAACCAAAAGGCUUGAGAGUGCAGGUUGCGUGCUUCACAGAAACAUAUUCCGUUAGAAAAGCUACCAAAACUAGACGACCUCAUAGUGCGGGGUAAAACUUGAGGUACUCGAGCCCGGAUCCUGAAAAUACGGGCUUUGGAGAAGGUGCUCCGGAGCCUGAUCUGCUACUGCGACUUGGGACUGGCACUGUCCUCGGCCACGAGAGGAACUUGUCCAUCUUCCACGGAAGCCAAUCUUGCUCUCCGUGGUACCUAGUCAGUCAUAAGUAAAUUACUGGUGUUGUAACUUUCGGAGCUGGAACAGCCUUGACGUGCCGGGACGUGUAGUCUCGCAAGAUCGAUAUCUCUUCGGUAGUGAACCUCGUGGCAAAAUGGCAAAGUUAAUCUCGGUGGCUCGCACUAAUUGAUUUAAUUCCAGCAUUGCACUGCGGAACACAAAAGGCAAAAGUAAUCUUCUUUAUCAACUGCAAAAGCUUACGCACGUUUCAAUGUCAAGUUUUAGCUUCAGCCCUCGCAUGUUCUCCAACAAGAAAACUUUAAAGUGGAUGUGUCAACUCCUCAUAUCUGCAAACAGAGAACAGUGAAGAAGCAGCCACAACUUUAAACCAGACCUGCUCAUCAUUAUCUCCAUCAUUUGCGCUGUUCCAUCGCUAGGAAGAGGACUACCACUUGUUGGCUCAGGAAAUGCCUUCAACAUCCUGAAGAGACAUGAGAACAGAUAAAGAAAAACACAAAUAGUGGAAAAAAGAACUUCAAGGAACCUGCUCAAAGAUUCUGCAGUUAAUCGAACGUCUCCUACUUCUGCUGACGCUUUCGAAAUGUUUCGAAGAGGUCAUCCCUGAUAGACAAGAGCUGAAAACGUUAGUGUCUGAUAUUAAUCACGAGCAAAAUUUACCAGUUCCUCAACGUGCUCUUGGUAGAAAUCUUUUAUGGCCUCUGCACCUUGUCGGAUCCAGUUCAAAGUCGUCACUACCAGCCAGCCGGGUAUUCUUAUUGGGCCUCUCAUACAAAGGCAACUGCAGUCACUUAAGCUAGUCAGAAAGUACAAGUUCUUACAUGCACUCUUUGAUGUUGCUGAGAUUUGCACGUAAGCACCAAACGACCCAUCUCAAUUUCUUCGUCCAUCCAAUCUCGUUUGGACAUGAUUUCUUUUGGUACUUAAGUGACAUACAGGCGGGCCUUCACGUCGUAGUAAACAUUCUAUACACGAAAAACAAAUUAAACCAUGGAUUGAUUAGCACGACUCUACUUACAGGAGGUAAAGCGUAAUUUCUUUGAGUUGCAUCGUAGACACUUGUCGAAGCAGCCCUGAUCAGAAAUGCAGGAAACAUGAAAAAGAACUUUUCUUGACAGAGUGCAAUACCUGAGUCAGCAGUACUGCAAGCUGCUCCUGAAUGAUUCCAAGCAUCGUUAUGCUCUCGGUAAUUCGACACGACGCAUCAUACACCAGCUUUUGAGUCGCAGAGCUUUCGGAGAUUAAGGCACGAAUCAUGCAGGCCAAGCCUUCCACAAAGGCGUGAGGACCUCUCUCCAGACCAUGAAUCGAAUUCUCAUCAUGUCAGCUCCCUGUGACAAAAUUCCUAUUGACCGCAGGAACAUAAAGAAGAAAAACAAGGAGCAAACCUGAGAUCGAUGCUCACGGAGGCCAGGAAGAAGGUAGCAGCACUCAUUCUUCCUUCUCGCAAAGUCAAUGCCGACUCAGCAGCGCCUCAGUCACGAAGCCCCAAACCCUAGGGUUUUAACGUCUCAAGAUAGAUGGAAGAGAGCUCCAUGGCCGGAGAUUGUAGAUGCCAGACCCACGCGGAUUGUGGCAAUUUGGCAACGGCAAAUUGCUUGGGGCUCUGCCGCAUAUUCUUGGAAUCAAGAGCCAUUUACAUUCUUCGAGUGUUUUUGGAGAAGCCAUCUACCAGGUAGAAAUAGAAGCCUAUCUCUCGACUGAUUUUACUUCCAUCGCAAAAUGCCGCUUUCUUACAAUCAAUUACAUUACGACUAUGUUUCGAUUGUCGUCUCGCCAUCUUAGCUCCGGCCAGCCUUGUUUUUGUAUUCCAUUCGCAACAUAGAAAAGAUUUUAUCGCUAGAACAUUAGAUUUGGGUAAGCUUCCAGUUUUUGAUAUUAAGUUCCUAUACACUUUGAGAUCAUUGUUUCAUUGACAACAAUUAUAUGCUGUAUUUGUUGAAUAUGUGCUCAAUACUUCGACAAUGUUAUGAAUGUGAUUUUCAAAGUUUUAAUUUCGAGUACAAGGAUAAUACUCGUCAAUCAAUGUUUAAUUGCCUCAGUGAUGGAGAAAGGAUCUGCUUCAAAGAAUCUCACGCUUCCGAAUCCACAUGAUUCCAGCAAAUUUUUCCAUCCAGCUUUCGUUCUCUGGUACCGCUGGCUCCCCGACAAGAACAUCAUAUCAAGCUGCAAGUGUAACUCCUUGCCUUCGUCCAUGACCAUGUCACAAAUGAUGAUUUUCCCAUCUGAUUCGAGGGCCGAGUGACAGUUCUUGACGAUCUUUGCCGCAUCAGCAUCCGCAAACAUGUGUAAGAAACUCUGCGCUCAAACACAUCUGAUGUAAGAUAGAAAAGAAACUAAUGCCCUCACUUUCAAGAAAAUGCCAUCCCCAGGUGGAACGAAGUCCAUAGCGUCUCCGGGAACGUUUUCCACGCCUGAUAGAAUUUUCAGCAAGAUCCAAGAAGAACUACAGAUCAUUACAAACUCGUACCUGGAUAUGCUGGAGCAUUUGAAAUGACCCGAGGAAGAUCGAAGUUCACAGCCUGGAUAUGCGGGUAGAGCCGCACAAUCUGAGCCAGAAACGAGCCCGUGUCACCCCCAACGUCGACAAGCCUCUUGACGCUCUUGAAACCAUCGUAGACUCGCGUAAUAGUAGCAAACGUUGCCGUGCUUACACUCAGCCUGAUAACUUUCCAAAACUCUGGAUGCGCUGCCACAUAGUCCUGAGGUUCCAUUCCAUGAGCUUCCACAAAAGCAUUGGAGUCGCCCGGCCGCUUGAUGGCAGCAUCUACAUGUUGCCACGAAAGCUGAGUGACUUCGGACGUGCAGAAGGAGAGAAUGCCCCCCACGAAGACGUCACUGCUAGAGCCGUGGCUGACCAGCAGCCUGGACAUGGGAGUGAGGCCAUAGCGAUCUCCGUUGAGAGCGAGCACCUUCUUGAAGACGAGAAACCUGAGGAGUCGGAACAGCCUCUCGGCCUGGAUGCUAUCUGCAUCGUGCUUGAUCCGUAGCUCCUGAAUGAUCUCGUCCAGAGUGGCUCCUUGCUCCGACGAGAACUUGGACACGAUGUUGAAGAUGUCGAGCUUGACUGCGGCCUUGAGAGCGAAGGGCGCUGCAAAUCCCAGUGUGAGGCUCCAGAACUGACUAUAUGCUUCCAUUUGCUCGCUCGUCGCCAUUGCGAAUCGCUGCUUGGUUGCUCUGUCUGAUGGAAGAACGACCCCACCCUCGUUUCUUAUAGGUGAUGCAGUGUCGACAUGAUCUCUUCUUUUGAAGAGCGGGAACUUGUCGCGGAGCUGCGGCCGCACCUUCCAAGAACCUCAAACAUUUGGAGAAUAGUAGUCUCUUGGUUCACGAGAUCUCAGCGUGACGACCUCUCUCGAAACCAUGAAUCGAAUUCUUACCAUAGUUCCCUGCGACAAUUUUCUCAGCAAUCGUGGGGAAGCGGAAGGAAGAGAUACCUGCCUAACGUAGCAGCUCCAUCGAAAUAUCUCGAAAGCGGUACGACCACUCUCAAUCGUGGCGGGAGGAAGAGAUACCAGUUUUAAUGUAGCCAUCGAAAUAUCUUCCAUAACGGCACCGAUCGAGUCUCUCAAUCGCUAGAAAUUUCACUUUCCUGUGCUGGAGGAGGCCAAAGACGACAGCAGAUCCAUCCUCUGAUCAGCGCCCGGCAUCUGGCCUGGAUCGCGUUGCCGCUCUCAAGAAUGCUAGGGUUGGUAGUCGGUUACGAGUCUUUUGAAUUACCAACUUGAACUCGCCACCGCAAAAGUUCUUGAGGGAGGAGACCUUGGGCUUCCAGAGAUCCGGGACAAGGGAGACAACCUGAUACUGGAUCUCUACAUUAUCCAGGCUGCAUAUGGAUGCCGUUGUCUGUGAAAGUGAUUCUUCUUCUAGUUUUGGUUUCGCUUGC